GCAGGUUUGAUUUUGUAAAGUUCAAGUUUUUUGUGUGUGAAGCAGUAUAGCUCAACUACAUUUUGUUCCCUCUUUACUUUUAAAUUGCUGACUGGAUGUUGAACUAAUUCUCUGCCUUCUCCAUCACUUACGUGGUUCCCUAUUUGGUUGAUCUAUUGUACUCAUGUAUAUUUCAAGAUACUAGGAAACGUAGCUAUCAAUUAUCUUGUAUACAAAAGGUUUGGGACUGGAUCUUCUAAUGAAAGCUGGAGCAGAAGAAGAAGUCCAGGAGGGAGAGAUGGAGAUGUGAGCAUGUAUACAUAUGUUCUGGAGACACUAGACUUAUCCGGUGGUGUGUGCGUGCUAUUGUAUCCUCUUUCGGCCACUCUAAUCUACACCCUCAGUACAAGCCGAUGCAACGUCAAGAUCGACAGGGGUGCGGGGUUCAGUUCGACGAUGACGAGCCAGGCAACUAGCCUUUGCAUCAUGAACUGGCGCAGUUUGAUCUUGUAAGAAAUGGAAAUUCCCUGAUGUUGAGUGUGUCAGUACAUUUGCUUGGCAGCUUUGCUACUCUAGUUAGUAACAUAUCACUUGCUAAAUCAAAAUUAUUUUGUUGUUCACUUUCCUGUGUUUUGUUGAAUAAUUCUCAGGCUUUAUUUUCUGAGAGCUACAAAAAUCAUAGUGCUCAAAAUACUGAUGUGUGUGUCAUACUUGAAUUAAAUAAAGUUAGAGGAGAAAGUACCCAUAUUCCAUUACUUUGAGAAGUACAAGUACACCUUUCUGACAGUACAGUGUAGGCCCGGUGUUGGCCCUGCACAAAUGGCGUCUUCAGCUCAGCACGCUACCUCCGUCGGUGGGUCUCCGUCCCUAUUCAAAUUUUUCCGGUGCAUCUUUAUAUUUUGUUCAGUUCAACUAUUUGCCGGUCAUAAGUCCAAUUUCAUCUGUGUUUCCAUGUUCUUCCUAUAGCAUAAGUUGAUUGGCAUUACUGUAACACUGAUCAAGCCAACUGCAUGUAUUUAGUGAUUAAUGUCAUUUGGAAAAAACUUUUACACUUGCUGUGAUGCCUUACAAUCAAGACAUUUUUUAUAUAAACACUGUUGCAAUAUGAAUGUCAAGGAAAAGCAUGUGAAAAUGCCCUCUAUAGGAGAAAGGCUUCUACAGAAAAUACUGUUGCAACAUUUUAGGCAUGCGAUUACAAUUUUUUUUGGCAAUUUAUUUUAGGUAUGCGAUUACACUUUUUUUUGUCGUCAGGCGUUUGCUUAAAUGCCUAAACAAAGAUCUAUUUUUGUUCAGUUCAAAAUCUAGUUUUAGUUCAGUGCAAACCUUAUUUUAAGUUUACUACAAUUUCUUAUUUUAGUUCACCUUUGGGUUU
This is a long non-coding RNA of Triticum aestivum (bread wheat), 1351 nucleotides long. RefSeq lists it as uncharacterized. The record is from RefSeq and is a predicted model, not a curated record. The transcript has 3 exons. NCBI's taxonomy places the organism in Eukaryota, Viridiplantae, Streptophyta, Magnoliopsida, Poales, Poaceae.